AACGAACGCUAGCGGCAGGCCUAACACAUGCAAGUCGAACGCUCGUAGCAAUACGGGAGUGGCGCACGGGUGAGUAACGCGUGGGCACCUACCCGGUGGUCCGGAAUAACCGCGGGAAACUGCGGCUAAUACCGAAUAAGCCCUUAGGGGGAAAGAUUUAUCGCCAUCGGAUGGGCCCGCGUCGGAUUAGCUAGUUGGUGUGGUAACGGCGCACCAAGGCGACGAUCCGUAGCUGGUCUGAGAGGAUGAUCAGCCACACUGGGACUGAGACACGGCCCAGACUCCUACGGGAGGCAGCAGUGGGGAAUAUUGGACAAUGGGCGCAAGCCUGAUCCAGCCAUGCCGCGUGAGUGAAGAAGGCCUUCGGGUUGUAAAGCUCUUUUGGCGGGGACGAUGAUGACGGUACCCCGCAGAAUAAGCCCCGGCUAACUUCGUGCCAGCAGCCGCGGUAAGACGAAGGGGCUAGCGUUGUUCGGAAUUACUGGGCGUAAAGGGCGCGUAGGCGGUUUGUUAAGUCAGGCGUGAAAGCCCUGGGCUNAACCUGGGAUGUGCGCUUGAUACUGGCAGGCUUGAGUGCAGGAGAGGAUGGUGGGAUUCCCAGUGUAGAGGUGAAAUUCGUAGAUAUUGGGAAGAACACCGGUGGCGAAGGCGGCCAUCUGGACUGCAACUGACGCUGAGGCGCGAAAGCGUGGGGGAGCAAAACAGGAUUAGAUACCCUGGUAGU
RNAcentral lists this ribosomal RNA (724 nucleotides) under uncultured bacterium. RNAcentral describes it as "bacterial SSU rRNA". It matches the Rfam family "Bacterial small subunit ribosomal RNA", at positions 28 to 794 of the family's 1533-position model. The record is from RNAcentral.